UACGAAGGGUGCAAGCGUUAAUCGGAAUUACUGGGCGUAAAGCGUGCGUAGGUGGUUUGUUAAGUCUGUCGUGAAAGCCCUGGGCUCAACCUGGGAACUGCGAUGGAUACUGGCAGACUAGAGUGCGGUAGAGGGUAGUGGAAUUUCCGGUGUAGCAGUGAAAUGCGUAGAGAUCGGAAGGAACAUCUGUGGCGAAGGCGACUACCUGGGCCAGCACUGACACUGAGGCACGAAAGCGUGGGGGAGCAAACAGG
This 254-nucleotide ribosomal RNA is filed under the name uncultured Lysobacteraceae bacterium. Its description in RNAcentral is "uncultured Xanthomonadaceae bacterium partial 16S ribosomal RNA". It matches the Rfam family "Bacterial small subunit ribosomal RNA", at positions 524 to 776 of the family's 1533-position model. Lineage: Bacteria; Pseudomonadati; Pseudomonadota; Gammaproteobacteria; Lysobacterales; Lysobacteraceae. The record is from RNAcentral.